This 600-nucleotide ribosomal RNA is filed under the name uncultured fungus. RNAcentral describes it as "eukaryotic LSU rRNA". It matches the Rfam family "Eukaryotic large subunit ribosomal RNA", at positions 23 to 641 of the family's 3401-position model. The record is from RNAcentral. Lineage: Eukaryota; Fungi.
ACCCGCUGAACUUAAGCAUAUCAAUAAGCGGAGGAAAAGAAACCAACCGGGAUUGCCCUAGUAACGGCGAGUGAAGCGGCAACAGCUCAAAUUUGAAAUCGGGCAUUUAUGCUUGAGUUGUAAUUUGCAGAGGGAGCUUUGGUUCUGGCAGCGGUCUAAGUUCCUUGGAACAGGACGUCACAGAGGGUGAGAAUCCCGUAUGUGGGCGCUGGCCUUUACCGUGUAAAGCCCCUUCGAUGAGUCGAGUUGUUUGGGAAUGCAGCUCUAAAUGGGAGGUAAAUUUCUUCUAAAGCUAAAUACUGGCCAGAGACCGAUAGCGCACAAGUAGAGUGAUCGAAAGAUGAAAAGUACUUUGGAAAGAGAGUCAAAUAGCACGUGAAAUUGUUGAAAGGGAAGCGCUUGCAGCCAGACUUGCCCGUAGUUGCUUAUCCAGGCUUUUGCCUGGUGCACUCUUCUGCGGGCAGGCCAGCAUCAGUUUGGGCGGUUGGAUAAAGGUCUCUGUCAUGUACCUCUUUUCGGGGAGGCCUUAUAGGGGAGACGACAUGCAGCCAGCCCAGACUGAGGUCCGCGCAUUUGCUAGGAUGCUGGCGUAAUGGUGGU